This 492-nucleotide ribosomal RNA is filed under the name Mimocaris heterocarpoides. RNAcentral describes it as "partial 16S ribosomal RNA". It matches the Rfam family "Bacterial large subunit ribosomal RNA", at positions 1845 to 2588 of the family's 2925-position model. Lineage: Eukaryota; Metazoa; Arthropoda; Malacostraca; Decapoda; Hippolytidae. The record is from RNAcentral.
AUAUAGUCUAGCCUGCCCGCUGAUUUUUUGAAGGGCCGCGGUACUUUGACCGUGCAAAGGUAGCAUAAUCAAUAGUUCUUUAAUUGGGAACUUGGAUGAAGGGCUGGACAAGAAGGAACCUGUCUCUCAAAUAAAAUUUGAAUUUCACUUUUAAGUGAAAAGGCUUAAAUAGAAUAAGGGGACGAUAAGACCCUAUAAAACUUGAUAUACAAGAAAUAUACUAACUUUUAAUUUUAAAGUUUAAAGAAGGGGGUAUAUGAUAUUGUUUUACUGGGGCGGUAAUUAUAUAAAAUUAGAAAAACUGUAAAUUGAGAUAAAUAACUAUAAUUAGAUGAUAUGAUCCCUUUAUAGGGAUUAAGAGAUUAAGUUACUUUAGGGAUAACAGCGUUAUUUCUCUUGAGAGUCCAAAUCGACAGAGUAAGUUGCGACCUCGAUGUUGAAUCAAGAUGUUAUUCAGGUGCAGAAGCCUGAAUUGUAGGUCUGUUCGACCUU